Molecule: ribosomal RNA, 129 nt
Organism: Mustela putorius furo (domestic ferret)
Lineage: Eukaryota; Metazoa; Chordata; Mammalia; Carnivora; Mustelidae
Source: Ensembl
GUCUACAGCCAUACCACCCUGAACAUGCCUGAUCUCAUCUGAUCUCAGAAGCUAAACAGGGGUGGGCCUGGUUAGUACUUGGAUGGGACAAAGGGAAGACAAGGGGGUGCCUGGGUGGCUCAGUUGGCU